RNAcentral lists this signal recognition particle RNA (89 nucleotides) under Marinobacter vinifirmus. RNAcentral describes it as "Bacterial small signal recognition particle RNA". It matches the Rfam family "Bacterial small signal recognition particle RNA". Rfam says of the family: The signal recognition particle (SRP) is a universally conserved ribonucleoprotein involved in the co-translational targeting of proteins to membranes. Archaeal SRP consists of a 7S RNA and homologues of the eukaryotic SRP19 and SRP54 proteins. The record is from RNAcentral. Lineage: Bacteria; Pseudomonadati; Pseudomonadota; Gammaproteobacteria; Pseudomonadales; Marinobacteraceae.
UGGUGCCUCCGCAACAUGAAACCGUGAACCCGGUCAGGCCCGGAAGGGAGCAGCCGAAGCGGUGGAUGUGUGUGCCGGGGGAUUGCUGG